AACAGCGCCGGCCAACUCCGUGCCAGCAGCCGCGGUAAUACGGAGGGCGCGAGCGUUACCCGGAUUUACUGGGCGCAAAGGGCGUGUAGGUGGUUUGGCGCGUCCAGCGUUAAAGACCGCGGCUCAACCGCGGGGGUGGUAAAACGACGGCCAGGCUAGACGGCUGGAGGGGGUGGUGGAAUUCCCGGAGUAGCGGUGAAAUGCGCAGAUACCGGGAGGAACGCCGAUGGCGAAGGCAACCCCCCGGCCAGUUUGUGACGCUGAGGCGCGAGAGCGUGGGGAGCAAACCGGAUUAGAUACCCGGGUAGUCCACGCCCUAAACGAUGCGCACUAGGUCUUUGGGUUUACUGGAGGCCGAAGCUAACGCGUUAAGUGCGCCGCCUGGGGAGUACGGCCGCAAGGCUGAAACUCAAAGGAAUUGACGGGGGCCCGCACAAGCGGUGGAGCAUGUGGUUUAAUUCGAAGCAACGCGAAGAACCUUACCAGGCCUUGACAUGCUGGGGAACCUGCCUGAAAGGGCGGGGUGCCGUAAGGAGCCCCAGCACAGGUGCUGCAUGGCCGUCGUCAGCUCGUGCCGUGAGGUGUUGGGUUAAGUCCCGCAACGAGCGCAACCCCUGCCCCUAGUUGCCAGCGGGUGAAGCCGGGGACUCUAGGGGGACUGCCCGCGAAAGCGGGAGGAAGGCGGGGACGACGUCUGGUCAGCAUGGCCCUUACGGCCUGGGCGACACACGUGCUACAAUGCCCACUACAGAGCGAGGCGACCGGGCGACCGGGGGCGAAUCGCAAAAAGGUGGGCGUAGUUCGGAUUGCAGUCUGCAACUCGACUGCAUGAAGUCGGAAUCGCUAGUAAUCGCGGAUCAGCCAUGCCGCGGUGAAUACGUUCCCGGGCCUUGUACACACCGCCCGUCACGCCAUGGGAGCGGGUUCUACCCGAAGUCGCCGGGAGCCUGAGGGCAGGCGCCGAGGGUAGGGCUCGUGACUGGGGCGAAGUCGUAACAAGGUAACCAAGC
This 1010-nucleotide ribosomal RNA is filed under the name uncultured bacterium. Its description in RNAcentral is "bacterial SSU rRNA". It matches the Rfam family "Bacterial small subunit ribosomal RNA", at positions 486 to 1505 of the family's 1533-position model. The record is from RNAcentral.